AGUGAACGCUGGCGGUAGGCCUAACACAUGCAAGUCGAACGGCAGCACAGUAAGAGCUUGCUCUUACGGGUGGCGAGUGGCGGACGGGUGAGGAAUACAUCGGAAUCUACUUUUUCGUGGGGGAUAACGUAGGGAAACUUACGCUAAUACCGCAUACGACCUACGGGUGAAAGCAGGGGAUCUUCGGACCUUGCGCGAUUGAAUGAGCCGCUGUCGGAUUAGCUAGUUGGCGGGGUAAAGGCCCACCAAGGCGACGAUCCGUAGCUGGUAUGAGAGGAUGAUCGGCCACCCUGGAACUGAGACAGGGUCCCGACACCUAAGGGGGGCAACAGUGGGGAAUAUUGGACAAUGGGCGCAAGACUGAUCCAGCCAUACCGCGUGGGUGAAGAAGGCCUUCGGGUUGUAAAGCCCUUUUGUUGGGAAAGAAGAGCAGCAGGUUAAUACCCCGCUGUUCUGACGGUACCCAAAGAAUAAGCACCGGCUAACUUCGUG
This 492-nucleotide ribosomal RNA is filed under the name uncultured bacterium. Its description in RNAcentral is "partial 16S ribosomal RNA". It matches the Rfam family "Bacterial small subunit ribosomal RNA", at positions 29 to 507 of the family's 1533-position model. The record is from RNAcentral.